RNAcentral lists this unclassified non-coding RNA (240 nucleotides) under soil metagenome. Its description in RNAcentral is "partial contains 5.8S ribosomal RNA, internal transcribed spacer 2, and large subunit ribosomal RNA". The record is from RNAcentral.
AACGCACGAGACCUGCGGACCUGCGGAGGGAUCAUUAAUGAGAAGCUGCCCCUCGUGGGUAGACCUCCCACCCUCUGUGAACUUACCUUUGUUGCUUUGGCAGGCCCGUCCUCUGGACCGCCGGCUUCGGCUGGCCCGUGCCUGCCAGAGGAUUCCAAACCCUGUCUGUCAGUAUUGUCUGAGUCUAUAUGAAAUCGUUAAAACUUUCAGCAAUGGAUCUCUAGAUCGGAAGAGCACACG